CUAGAUCCCCAUCUGGCUCUGUU
This 23-nucleotide microRNA is filed under the name Macaca mulatta (Rhesus monkey). RNAcentral describes it as "Mml-Novel-9_3p (mature (co-guide))". Lineage: Eukaryota; Metazoa; Chordata; Mammalia; Primates; Cercopithecidae. The record is from RNAcentral.